UACGUAGGGGGCAAGCGUUGUCCGGAUUUAUUGGGCGUAAAGAGCGUGUAGGCGGCUUUGCAAGUCCGUUGUGAAAACUCGAGGCUCAACCUCGAGACGCCGGUGGAAACUGCAAAGCUAGAGUCCGGAAGAGGUGAGUGGAAUUCCCAGUGUAGCGGUGAAAUGCGUAGAUAUUGGGAGGAACACCAGUGGCGAAGGCGGCUCACUGGACCGGAACUGACGCUGAGGCGCGAAAGCGUGGGGAGCAAACAGG
This 253-nucleotide ribosomal RNA is filed under the name uncultured bacterium. RNAcentral describes it as "partial 16S ribosomal RNA". It matches the Rfam family "Bacterial small subunit ribosomal RNA", at positions 524 to 776 of the family's 1533-position model. The record is from RNAcentral.